GACGAACGCUGGCGGCGUGCUUAACACAUGCAAGUCGAACGGAAAGGCCCUGCUUUUGUGGGGUGCUCGAGUGGCGAACGGGUGAGUAACACGUGAGUAACCUGCCCUUGACUUUGGGAUAACUUCAGGAAACUGGGGCUAAUACCGGAUAGGAUCUCCUGCUUCAGGGUGGGGGUUGGAAAGUUUCGGCGGUUGGGGAUGGACUCGCGGCUUAUCAGCUUGUUGGUGGGGUAGUGGCUUACCAAGGCUUUGACGGGUAGCCGGCCUGAGAGGGUGACCGGCCACACUGGGCUUGAGAUACGGCACAGCCUCCUACGGGAGGCAGCAGUGGGGAAUAUUGCACAAGGGGAGGAAGCCUGAUGCAGCAACGCAGCGUGCGGGAUGACGGCCUUCGGGUUGUAAACCGCUUUCGCUUGUGACGAAGCGUGAGUGACGGUAACGGGUAAAGAAGCACCGGCUAACUACGUG
RNAcentral lists this ribosomal RNA (468 nucleotides) under uncultured bacterium. RNAcentral's name for it is "partial 16S ribosomal RNA". It matches the Rfam family "Bacterial small subunit ribosomal RNA", at positions 28 to 507 of the family's 1533-position model. The record is from RNAcentral.